This 789-nucleotide ribosomal RNA is filed under the name uncultured Staphylococcus sp. RNAcentral describes it as "bacterial SSU rRNA". It matches the Rfam family "Bacterial small subunit ribosomal RNA", at positions 131 to 906 of the family's 1533-position model. Lineage: Bacteria; Bacillati; Bacillota; Bacilli; Caryophanales; Staphylococcaceae. The record is from RNAcentral.
UAUAAGACUGGGAUAACUUCGGGAAACCGGAGCUAAUGCCGGAUAACAUUUGGAACCGCAUGGUUCUAAAGUAAAAGAUGGUUUUGCUAUCACUUAUAGAUGGACCCGCGCCGUAUUAGCUAGUUGGUAAGGUAACGGCUUACCAAGGCAACGAUACGUAGCCGACCUGAGAGGGUGAUCGGCCACACUGGAACUGAGACACGGUCCAGACUCCUACGGGAGGCAGCAGUAGGGAAUCUUCCGCAAUGGACGAAGGUCUGACGGAGCAACGCCGCGUGAGUGAUGAAGGUUUUCGGAUCGUAAAACUCUGUUAUUAGGGAAGAACAAAUGUGUAAGUAACUGUGCACAUCUUGACGGUACCUAAUCAGAAAGCCACGGCUAACUACGUGCCAGCAGCCGCGGUAAUACGUAGGUGGCAAGCGUUAUCCGGAAUUAUUGGGCGUAAAGCGCGCGUAGGCGGUUUCUUAAGUCUGAUGUGAAAGCCCACGGCUCAACCGUGGAGGGUCAUUGGAAACUGGGAAACUUGAGUACAGAAGAGGAAAGUGGAAUUCCAUGUGUAGCGGUGAAAUGCGCAGAGAUAUGGAGGAACACCAGUGGCGAAGGCGACUUUCUGGUCUGUAACUGACGCUGAUGUGCGAAAGCGUGGGGAUCAAACAGGAUUAGAUACCCUGGUAGUCCACGCCGUAAACGAUGAGUGCUAAGUGUUAGGGGGUUUCCGCCCCUUAGUGCUGCAGCUAACGCAUUAAGCACUCCGCCUGGGGAGUACGACCGCAAGGUUGAAACUCAGAG